AGGAAGUGGAGACCGGUUGGCACAUUGGGAGUUCUUGAGAAGUACAGGGAACAGAAUGUACAGUGGAAGGAGGGAAGUGUGGGGGAGAAGGGGGGCAGAGCUGCAGGAAAACCUCCCCUGCAUCACAGGGGAGCUAAGACUGGUCUACCUGGCCCAGAUUCUUUGGCCUGUGUCUCUGCUCAGCUCUGUUGAGAGCAUGAAUCCCUAAUCAGAUGAACAGAAUCAUGAGAAUCCCCACCAGCAGGUAAUCAAGAGGCCAGCGCCCUGUCCACAGGGCCAGGUAUCCACCUCCAAGGGAUCUGCCUCUGCCACACUCACCUUGCAGCAGGGACCUGCCAAAGGAAGCUGGAUGAGGCAGUGGCUUUCAUGAUAAAUGCUGGGUUGAACUCUGGUUCUUGAAGAAAGUUCCUGAUGUCUCCACUUCUUGACACUUUCUGAAAUGUAUGUCUAGGGCAAUUGAGAGAAUGACUCUAAAACUUUCUCCAGCCCUGACUCCUCUCUGAAUUGCCUCCUGAACAUCUCUAGUUGGAUGUUCCAUAGGGACCUCAGCAUCAUCCUAUCAUCAGGCUGUACCUCCCAUGAGGGUGAGAACUGUCAGUCUGGUACACCACGAUAUAUGCAGAGCCCCGUGCAGUGCUUGGCAUGGACACUGAAGAUAUACUGACCGGAUGAAGGAAUGGAGUUCUAAAACAAAACCUGUCACUUUCCACCUGGAAACAGUUCUAUCUCUGGGCUGCCUUGUCUGUCACUGAUAUCACCAUCAUUGUUGUCAAAUUGAUCCUCUCUCUUCCUUCUUCUCACAUCCUAUUGGUCACCAAGUCCUCUAUGUUCUACCCCAGCAAUAUCUCUUGAAUCCACUCUCCUCUCUCCACUGCUACACACUGCCCUGGAUUAGUCUCUUUCUGUACUUCGUGAUCUAAACCAUCCAGUGGUCCCCUCUUUCCUUCGGCAUAAACCCAAACUUCUUAGCGUGACUUCCCACCACUGCCUCUACCCUCCUUCUGUGUGUAUCAUCCAUUUCUCUUCUGCAUGGCUCUUGUUGCUGCCCAGCUAGUCUUCUCCUUGUUUCUCAAACCUGUCUUGGGUUUACCUGACCUGGUAUCCGGGCUCAUAUCCCUGUCUGUACUCUCCUCUUUUCAUUGGUCGAUCCUGGAUUUGAUAAUCUCUCCUUCCGCUGAGCUGAGAAUCAGACUGAACUCAUAGCUUAAGAUCUACUCUGUGUUGGCACUGCGUGUCAGGUGCUGGUGAUAAAGCUGAGGCUCUGGUACGUACAGGGAUGGUCAAGGUCACACAUUGGUAAUAGUAAGAGCUACCACUUAUUGGUUGUCUCUCAUGUUUCAGGUACUCUUCUGGGUGUUUUACCUGCUUUCUUUUCAAUAAACUUGCAAUAGGUCAUUCAAAUGAGGAUACAGCAUUAAAGGCAUCCAUACCAGCUGUGUCUGUUCCCAGGCAGGUCUUUUGGAGGGAACUGGCUCAGUGGAUGGAGAAAGUUAUGACUAGGAGAACAGAAGCUUAGAGUCCUGCUGAGGACACCAGGGGUCACCUCAUGGAUGCUGGGUUCCUGGGGAGGGCAAGAGGAAGGAAAGGGGAGAGGCAAGGGAAACAUGCCCUCCAUUAGCAUCAAACUAUUUCUCUCCUGACGGAAGGUGAGACAAAAUCUGGAGGUUCAAAUGGUGCUGUGGUUCAGCCUACACAUAAGAAACACUUGAGUUGCUUUUUAAAGGUAUUAAUGCAGAUUCUGACUUAGUGUGACUCAAGUGGGCCCUGGAUUCUGCAUUUCUAACAACUUCCAGGUGAUGCCAGUGCUGCUGGGUCCUGCAUCUAUAGCAGUCUAUGACUGGGUCUGAGAUGAUCUGUGGCCAGGGUCCAAGAUCAGUCUGUGCUUGGGGAAGUGGGACAGUCCAUAAUGGGAGAAUUGUGAAGUUGACCAGACUUUUGACUUUGACCAACACUGCAUCUGUCCUCCAACCUUAGAGCCUUGAGUCAUAAUGAAAAGAGUGAAAGAGAACAAAGAGAUUUUCCCUGAGGUAAAGGGGGGGGGGGGUGCAGAGCAGCUGGGGGCAGGAUUCCUGAGCCAUCAGGCUUGGUUAGUUCUUGAGAAGUUGUCCUAGCUCCUGGGAAGUGUCUGGAUAGGAGAAUCAGCUCCUUUUCUGCUGAGAUGAUUUCUCUUCCCUCCUUUCCUGCUUUCCCGCUCUACCAUCUGACAUAUGGUCUUGACAAGGAGAUAUAAGGUCCUCUUCUGCCACCUCUCCCUCAUACACAGUGAUCUGGAGUCACGAAACUUCUCGUCGUCCUUUGGUUUCACGAGCCGUUAACCCACUGCUACUUCUGCUGGAAAUGCUCGUACUUCCCCCCUCCACCUGGAAAACUCCUAUUCAUUUGUCAAGGCCUGAGGUCACCUUCUCUGGGAAGUCUUCCUUGCUCACCCCCUGACAAAUUCCAUUUUGUAUUAUUUGUGUAAUUAAAUUUCCAUUACAUUUCA
This is a non-coding RNA of Equus caballus (horse), 2482 nucleotides long. The record is from RefSeq and is a predicted model, not a curated record. Lineage: Eukaryota; Metazoa; Chordata; Mammalia; Perissodactyla; Equidae.